This 111-nucleotide ribosomal RNA is filed under the name Caerostris darwini. The record is from RNAcentral. Lineage: Eukaryota; Metazoa; Arthropoda; Arachnida; Araneae; Araneidae.
ACGGCCAUACCAUGCUGAAUAUACCGGUUCUCGUUAGAUCACCGAAGUCAAGCAUCAUUGGGCGCGGUCAGUACUUGGGUGGGUGACCCCCUGGGAACACCGAGUGCCGUU